GAGUUUGAUCAUGGCUCAGAACGUACGCUGGCGGCACGCCUAAUACAUGCAAGUCGAACGAAGUAGCAAUACUUAGUGGCAGACGGGUGAGAAACAUGUAGGUAUCUACCCUUUGGCCUGGAAUAACACGAGGAAACUUGUGCUAAUACCGGAUAAGUCUUUACGGAGAAAGCUUUAUGCACCAUUGGAUGAGCCUGCACUUGAUUAGUUGUUGGUGGGGUAAUGGCCUACCAAGACAAUGAUCAAUAGCUGAUUUGAGAGGAUGAUCAGCC
RNAcentral lists this ribosomal RNA (272 nucleotides) under uncultured Alphaproteobacteria bacterium. RNAcentral's name for it is "partial 16S ribosomal RNA". It matches the Rfam family "Bacterial small subunit ribosomal RNA", at positions 9 to 309 of the family's 1533-position model. Lineage: Bacteria; Pseudomonadati; Pseudomonadota; Alphaproteobacteria. The record is from RNAcentral.